GAUGAACGCUGGCGGCGUGCCUAAUACAUGCAAGUCGAGCGAACAGAUGAGGAGCUUGCUCCUCUGACGUUAGCGGCGGACGGGUGAGUAACACGUGGAUAACCUACCUAUAAGACUGGGAUAACUUCGGGAAACCGGAGCUAAUACCGGAUAAUAUAUUGAACCGCAUGGUUCAAUAGUGAAAGACGGUUUUGCUGUCACUUAUAGAUGGAUCCGCGCCGCAUUCGCUAGUUGGUAAGGUAACGGCUUACCAAGGCAACGAUGCGUAGCCGACCUGAGAGGGUGAUCGGCCACACUGGAACUGAGACACGGUCCAGACUCCUACGGGAGGCAGCAGUAGGGAAUCUUCCGCAAUGGGCGAAAGCCUGACGGAGCAACGCCGCGUGAGUGAAGAAGGUCUUCGGAUCGUAAAACUCUGUUAUUAGGGAAGAACAAAUGUGUAAGUAACUAUGCACGUCUUGACGGUACCUAAUCAGAAAGCCACGGCUAACUACGUG
This 497-nucleotide ribosomal RNA is filed under the name uncultured bacterium. Its description in RNAcentral is "partial 16S ribosomal RNA". It matches the Rfam family "Bacterial small subunit ribosomal RNA", at positions 28 to 507 of the family's 1533-position model. The record is from RNAcentral.